GACUCUUGGCAACAGAUAUCUUGGCUCUCGCAUCGAUGAAGAACGUAGCGAAAUGCGAUACCUGGUGUGAAUUGCAGAAUCCCGCGAACCAUCGAGUCUUUGAAUGCAAGUUGCGCCCAAGGCAACACGGCCGAGGGCAUGCCUGCCUGGGCGUCA
Triticum aestivum (bread wheat) is the source of this 156-nucleotide non-coding RNA. NCBI's taxonomy places the organism in Eukaryota, Viridiplantae, Streptophyta, Magnoliopsida, Poales, Poaceae. The record is from Rfam.